Molecule: ribosomal RNA, 585 nt
Filed under: uncultured bacterium
Lineage: Bacteria
Description: partial 16S ribosomal RNA
Rfam family: Bacterial small subunit ribosomal RNA
Source: RNAcentral
UGGGGAAUUUUGGACAAUGGGCGAAAGCCUGAUCCAGCAAUGCCGCGUGUGUGAAGAAGGCCUUCGGGUUGUAAAGCACUUUUGUCCGGAAAGAAAUCCUUGGCUCUAAUACAGUCGGGGGAUGACGGUACCGGAAGAAUAAGCACCGGCUAACUACGUGUCAGCAGCCGCGGUAAUACGUAGGGUGCAAGCGUUAAUCGGAAUUACUGGGCGUAAAGCGUGCGCAGGCGGUUUGCUAAGACCGAUGUGAAAUCCCCGGGCUCAACCUGGGAACUGCAUUGGUGACUGGCAGGCUAGAGUAUGGCAGAGGAGGGUAGAAUUCCACGUGUAGCAGUGAAAUGCGUAGAGAUGUGGAGGAAUACCGAUGGCGAAGGCAGCCCCCUGGGCCAAUACUGACGCUCAUGCACGAAAGCGUGGGGAGCAAACAGGAUUAGAUACCCUGGUAGUCCACGCCCUAAACGAUGUCAACUAGUUGUUGGGGAUUCAUUUCCUUAGUAACGUAGCUAACGCGUGAAGUUGACCGCCUGGGGAGUACGGUCGCAAGAUUAAAACUCAAAUGAAUUGACGGGGUCAUAGCUGUUUCCU